RNA transcript from Anguilla rostrata (American eel), 3073 nucleotides. RefSeq lists it as uncharacterized. The transcript is spliced from 4 exons. The record is from RefSeq and is a predicted model, not a curated record. NCBI's taxonomy places the organism in Eukaryota, Metazoa, Chordata, Actinopteri, Anguilliformes, Anguillidae.
ACACUGAGGAGCUUGCAGAGGGACUUCAACCCCCUCUAGUAUCGUAGAGUAUCCGAACGUAAACACAGCAGCCGGAAGUUGUACUGGUUAUCAUGUACGUCUCAUUCAUCUGCAUUUGAGUGACAAGCUUCUCUCUCCUCUGCAGAGGAGCUGCGGCUUUUCGUUGCCCAAUGACGUCAUUACUGUUCGACGGCGGUAAAGUUGAACAAGACUUCCAGGAAGGCUGUGAGUACCGCUCCGUGAAGCUAGUGUCAAAAUUUUUUCAUUAUGUAUUUUGCAACGAUACAAGUAAUUGAUGUCCACUGAUCCUGCGCUGCAGGAGAGCUGAACGGGGGGAGUGGCCGCGUUCUCAGUCUGAGUGCUGCGGGACCAGCUUGGACUAUUCACGAGGAAGAGCUGCACGUGGAGGAUGAGGGAUUUGAAGAUGUGGAGGACAGGGACCCAACGGCCCAUCAUCCUGCAGAACCAUCAGGUAAAUCACCCACCCUGCAGCCCUGAGGCCUGUCCCCAGUACCCCCACCAAACAGAGCACUUCUCCGCAGUCUGCCACUGCUGCUCCACCUGGGACAGACCCUCUGAGAUCCAACCGGAUCCGACCACUGUCGCCUGUGUGACGUCAGUCAGUUUGCACCUGGGCCACGCCAACUAUAACACUGUUUACUGAAUAAAAAAUGGUUGUUAUAAAUGUAACGUUAUGUACAUACUCAUUCAUUGUCUAACAUUAGGCUAACUUAAGCUGUCUUUACACUGCCGAGCUGGGUUAAAAUGCUGUAGCAGACCUGGGGUAGAAUUAGUGAUGAUCAAUUUCCACUGACGUUCUUUAUCCACCUUUUGCCCAGUAUGAACAUCUUUACACUGCAGAGAAGAAUUUGCGGGAUUCAAUGUGGCUCGUGCAAUUAUGUAUUUCAUGCACAAUAAACAGUCUUUCUCGUGAAUGAUUGUGAUAUUUUUGAAACAACUGCCUUGCAAAAUGUUACCCCUGAUGUUUUUGGUUUUGCUAGCUAAGCUGUUCGAGAAUAAAGCUGAGCUGAGUGUUAAAUUAACAAUCAGAACAAGAAGAAUAAAAUAAAAACAAAGGAGAUUUCACCAAUAAAGGGCAAGGCUGAAGGAACAUAUGAGGAAGCGUAAUAAAAUAACAACGCUUAUCCAUACUGCUGUAUUCUUUUAUUUAGUUCUCUCCGGCUUGACAUCUUCAUACAGAAAUCAGUCCCAGCUCUGCACCACCUAUACCCCGGGUUAAUGCUCUGUGUAAAGACGGCUUUAUUCCGAUCAUUAGCCUAUAAUAUAUUGAUGAACUUGAUGGCAGUGUAAAUAACGGCAACAUUAAGGCCAAUUCAGAUCAAUGAUUCGCAAAGAGAUUAAACGGUUUUAGAAUGUUUCAGAGAAAAUUGCAGCGGUGUGAACUGGUUAGUUGCAGAGCGUCUGAAGCCGUUGCCUGGGGUCUCAAAAGACCCACCUUGUCAAAUCGCCAAGUGCAGUUAGAACGUUUACAAUCAGACGUCUUGGAAUUUUGCAAGUUGCAUCCAGUCUCGUUCCGAAUCAUUGAUCUGAACUGACCUUUAGUUAGCUACAUUGCAACGUUGCAACAAGGUAGCAUUGCAUUCGAGAGGCGUUUUGCGAGGUCGGUACCAGUUGGUAGCAUUAGCUAGCGUUUUUUCUAAUUGUUAGCUGACAUUAGAUUGUGUUAAUUACAUUAGCUAGCUAGCUAGCUAACGCAAUAUUACAUGAUAUGAGAGAUGGCUACUGUGCGCAACUUUGCCUGAACUAAUGUUGCCUUUCUUGACAUGGUCCGGUAGCUAGCGUUAGCUGUGCAAAUAGCUAGGCUAUGUAAUUUAGUAACGUUGCAUUGUCAUCAAAUGUAAUACGAAAUCUACAUCAACAAAUAAUGACCAUGUUACACAAUGAAAACUUUUUAGGGUUCCAUAACCCCCCCCCCCCCCCCCCUUCUCUGUUAUUGUAACGCUAGCAGACACUAAAAUCCUUGUUUUUCCUGUUAAAAUUAGUGUAGAGGUGUUACGGCAUGGCUCGAAAAGCCAUAAGUCCAAUUACCCAAAAACACAAUCAAAAAGCUGAUUUAAAAACACAAACCCAGACUAGAAUAACAAACUAAUCACAAACGAAACGAAGUUAGUUCAAACAAAACGAUCUUCACAAAAACUACAAACCCAAAACCACAAAUCAAACCACACAGAAAAGAAGAUCUCAAAGAAAGACGCUCUACCCAAACCACAAACACAAAAGCCCCAAAAGAAACUGUCCCCUGCCUCAUACUACUGGGCUUAUAUUGGGCCACAGGCAGGUGGAGGCAAUCAAGCGAUUAGGCAGUUAGGUAAUUACCUCCACCUGCAUUACCCAGACCAGCAGAGGCAGGGGACGUAACAAGAGGUUGUCAGUCUGCUGGAUUGCCCACCUUGUUACUUUUUUGUUUGACCAUCAUUGUCAUAAUUAUUCUUUUUAAAGCUUUAAUAAAAAUGCAUAUUUUCACUAAAAUUCAGUCUUUCGCUGUGUUAUUACAUCCUAUUUUCAUGUCUUUUACUUGCUUUAUGCACCUCCUAGACCUGGUCAUCCUGAGGGAUUGCUCCUCCUCCGAUCCCACGGUGACCCCUCUGCACCAGUCUGACCACCACUUCAUUUCCUUCUCCCUCCCUCUUGCUCCCCUCCCUCCCUCCCCUUCAUCCACUCCUACUGUCAUGGUCCGCCGUAACCUCCGCUCCCUCUCUCCCUCCUCUCUCGCUUCUAGUGUCACUGCUUUACUCCCCCCUCUUGAAUCCUUCUCCAACCUUCCCACUGACUCUGCAUCCUCCGCUCUGUCUUCCUCGCUCUCCUCAGCACUUGACUCUCUCUAUCCUCUAGUCUCCAGGCCGGCAUGCUCGUCCCCUCCCAGUCCGUGGAUGUUUGACCCCCUCCGAACCAUCCGGGCCAGCCUACGUGCAGCGGAGAGGAAGUGGAGGAAAUCUAUGGCUCAAUCUGACCUGUCUGCCUACCAGUCUCUGCUAGCUGCAUUUUCUAUUGCUGUAACCUCUGCUAAAAUGAAUUAUCAAACAAAAAUUCAUAAAUCUGCCUCUAACCCUCA